Molecule: ribosomal RNA, 386 nt
Filed under: uncultured soil bacterium
Lineage: Bacteria
Description: bacterial SSU rRNA
Rfam family: Bacterial small subunit ribosomal RNA
Source: RNAcentral
AGGACGAACGCUGGCGGCGCGCUUAAUACAUGCAAGUCGAGUGAGAACCGGACCUUCGGGUCCGGGGAAAGCGGCGAACGGGUGAGUAACACGUGGGUAAUCUGCCCUCGGUACUGGGAUAGCCCGGGGAAACCCGGAUUAAUACCGGAUAGCCUUUCGAGCUCUCGGGCUCGUUAGAAAAUGGUGGCUUCGGCUUCCGACUGAGGAUGAGCCCGCGGCGGAUUAGCUUGUUGGUGAGGUAAUGGCUCACCAAGGCCCCGAUCCCGUAGCUGGUCUGAGAGGACGAUCAGCCACACUGGGACUGACGACACCGGCCCAGUCUCCCGUACGGGAGCAGUCAGUAGGAAUCGUGCGCAAGUGGGACGAAAGCCUGACGCAGCGACGCG